GAAAAAUUAAAUAAAGCAAAAAGCUCAACAUCCAGUGCUUUCCAUGCCUUCAAACCAAAUAAACAGGAAUCCCCAAACCCAAAAUCCUAAUACCCUGAAAAAGAGAUUCAGAGAGAGCAAAAACCUCUUGGUGAGCAAUAAUGGGAGGCGUAAUAACAAGAAGGAACCAUUUUCACCUCACUUUCCUUUUCUUCACUUUCCUUUCUUUUCUUGUCUCAGGAUUUGCUUUCUCUGCAGACACCUUAUUAUCAACCCAUUUUCUCUCAGGCGACCAAAAGCUUCUGUCUUCAAGACAGGUUUUUGAGCUUGGGUUCUUCACUCCAGGAAAUUCCAACAAGUGGUAUGUGGGGAUAUGGUAUAAGAACAUUCCUAAUAGAACAUAUGUCUGGGUGGCUAA
RNAcentral lists this unclassified non-coding RNA (397 nucleotides) under Hevea brasiliensis (rubber tree). Lineage: Eukaryota; Viridiplantae; Streptophyta; Magnoliopsida; Malpighiales; Euphorbiaceae. The record is from RNAcentral.